AAUGGCUGCAGUAAUAUAACUGUACAAAGGUAGCAUAAUCAUUAGUUUUUUAAUUAAAAGCUUGUAUGAAAGGUUGGACGAAGUAAAAUCUGUCUCUUUUUAAUAAAAUUAGAAUUUAAUUUUUAAGUAAAAAAGCUUAAAUUUUUUUAAAAGACGAGAAGACCCUAUAGAGUUUAAUAAUUUAUUUUAAAUAAUUAAUUUAGAUUUAUUUAUUUUAUUUAUUAUUAAAUUAUUUUAUUGGGGUAAUAAAAAGAUUAAUAUAAUUCUUUUUUUUUAUUUACAUUAAUUUAUGAAUACAAUGAUCCAUUUUUUAUGAUUAAAAGAUUAAAUUACCUUAGGGAUAACAGCGUAAUUUUUUUAAAGAGUUCAUAUCGAUAAAAAAGUUUGCGACCUCGAUGUUGGAUUAAAGAUUAAUUUAGGUGUAGAAGUUUAAAUUUUUGGUCUGUUCGACCAUUAAAUCUUUACAUGAUCUGAGUUCAAACCGGUGUAAGCCAGGUUGGUUUCUAUCUUUAUAAAAUUUUUAUAUUUUAGUACGAAAGGACCAAAUAUUUAAUAUAUUAAAUAUUUAAUUAUUUUGAAUAU
This 582-nucleotide ribosomal RNA is filed under the name Anophthalmus schmidti. Its description in RNAcentral is "partial 16S ribosomal RNA". The stretch from base 340 to 498 matches the Rfam family "Bacterial large subunit ribosomal RNA", at positions 2473 to 2632 of the family's 2925-position model. Lineage: Eukaryota; Metazoa; Arthropoda; Insecta; Coleoptera; Carabidae. The record is from RNAcentral.